GUAUUUAUCUAGCAGGGGAGAUAUUAUGAUCACGAAGGUGGUUUUUUUUUGUUUUUUUUUUUUUUUUUUUAAGGCGAGGCUUUUUCGUUGCACUUUGCGUGUGUGUAUUGAUCCUUGUGAUUUCCGCAAAUGUGGGAAACUUGACUGCGUAAUUUGUGGUAGGGGCGACUGCGUUCGCGCUUUCUUCUG
Macaca fascicularis (crab-eating macaque) is the source of this 189-nucleotide small nuclear RNA. Its record names the gene U1. It matches the Rfam family "U1 spliceosomal RNA". Rfam says of the family: U1 is a small nuclear RNA (snRNA) component of the spliceosome (involved in pre-mRNA splicing). Its 5' end forms complementary base pairs with the 5' splice junction, thus defining the 5' donor site of an intron. The record is from Ensembl. NCBI's taxonomy places the organism in Eukaryota, Metazoa, Chordata, Mammalia, Primates, Cercopithecidae.